GGAUCCAGACUUUGAUCAUGGCUCAUGACGAACGCUGGCGGCGUGCCUAAUACAUGCAAGUCGAACGAAGCUUUCUUUCACCGAAUGCUUGCAUUCACCGAAAGAUGCUUAGUGGCGAACGGGUGAGUAACACGUAGGCAACCUGCCCAAAAGAGGGGGAUAACACUUGGAAACAGGUGCUAAUACCGCAUAACCAUGAACACCGCAUGAUGUUCAUGUAAAAGACGGCUUUUGCUGUCACUUUUGGAUGGGCCUGCGGCGUAUUAACUUGUUGGUGGGGUAACGGCCUACCAAGGUGAUGAUACGUAGCCGAACUGAGAGGUUGAUCGGCCACAUUGGGACUGAGACACGGCCCAAACUCCUACGGGAGGCAGCAGUAGGGAAUCUUCCACAAUGGACGAAAGUCUGAUGGAGCAACGCCGCGUGAAUGAAGAAGGCCUUCGGGUCGUAAAAUUCUGUUGUCAGAGAAGAACGUGCGUGAGAGUAACUGUUCACGUAUUGACGGUAUCUGACCAGAAAGCCACGGCUAACUACGUGCCAGCAGCCGCGGUAAUACGUAGGUGGCAAGCGUUGUCCGGAUUUAUUGGGCGUAAAGGGAACGCAGGCGGUCUUUUAAGUCUGAUGUGAAAGCCUUCGGCUUAACCGAAGUAGUGCAUUGGAAACUGGAAGACUUGAGUGCAGAAGAGGAGAGUGGAACUCCAUGUGUAGCGGUGAAAUGCGUAGAUAUAUGGAAGAACACCAGUGGCGAAAGCGGCUCUCUGGUCUGUAACUGACGCUGAGGUUCGAAAGCGUGGGUAGCAAACAGGAUUAGAUACCCUGGUAGUCCACGCCGUAAACGAUGAGUGCUAAGUGUUGGAGGGUUUCCGCCCUUCAGUGCUGCAGCUAACGCAUUAAGCACUCCGCCUGGGGAGUACGGUCGCAAGACUGCAACUCAAAGGAA
Molecule: ribosomal RNA, 940 nt
Filed under: uncultured Bacillota bacterium
Lineage: Bacteria; Bacillati; Bacillota
Description: bacterial SSU rRNA
Rfam family: Bacterial small subunit ribosomal RNA
Source: RNAcentral